AUUUGUGACAUUUUAAGGAUUUCAAUUUUGUAAAUAAAUUUCUGUUUCGAUAUAUGUUUUUACAAAACGAUAUCUAUUUUUAAAUUGUUUGGUGAUAGAAUGACUAAUGAAGUAAAAUUACUGAAGGAACUAUCCAGCCGAGCUUAUUAUGCCAGAAAUAAAAAUGUACUAGAGUUUUGUGAUGCUGCGGAGAAAGGAUCAAGAAGGCCACUUCAAACGACCCUCUUAUUAGCAGCGUUAGCUGUUUUAAUGUGGAUUCUUAGCUACAUGCUUACUCUUACAACUAUAACGUUUUUGAAUCUCGGCCCCAUACCUAUAAAAUUAUAUUUGUAUUCUAACGAAACUGAUAUUAUGUAGUGCAAAUAAAAUAGUCUAAAUUUGAA
Long non-coding RNA from Pieris brassicae (large cabbage white), 383 nucleotides. RefSeq lists it as uncharacterized. Lineage: Eukaryota; Metazoa; Arthropoda; Insecta; Lepidoptera; Pieridae. The transcript is spliced from 2 exons. The record is from RefSeq and is a predicted model, not a curated record.